CGCAUUUGGGUGCGUCUUUGGAGUGUGAUUGGUCCAUAGAGAUCGGUUUCGUCUAGAAAGGUUACAGCUUUUGUCAAAAUGGACUUUUCAUAGCAGGUUUAAGAAAACUGGUAUAGCAGUUACUUCUCUGUCUCCUGUUCCACAUCUCACCACCAACCACCUUGCUCUGGAUAUCACUCACCACCAUUACCUUGGAUUCCCCUCUGGACCGGUUCCCCUGUUCUACUCAGCCAACUCCAACCUCACUCUACACUCCUGGUUUUUGCAACUCACCUGAGCUACCCCAGUUCUGCACUCCCCAUUUCUCUGUGCUCAAUAAACCUUUUUGUGCAUUCA
Long non-coding RNA from Oncorhynchus keta (chum salmon), 336 nucleotides. RefSeq lists it as uncharacterized. NCBI's taxonomy places the organism in Eukaryota, Metazoa, Chordata, Actinopteri, Salmoniformes, Salmonidae. The transcript is spliced from 2 exons. The record is from RefSeq and is a predicted model, not a curated record.